UUGUUGGAGAGUUUGAUCCUGGCUCAGGACGAACGCUGGCGGCGUACUUAACACAUGCAAGUCGUACGGUGAAGCUUCUUCGGGGGUGGAUCAGUGGCGAACGGGUGAGUAACACGUAAGUAACCUGCCCUUUUCUUGGGGAUAACUCGCGGAAACGUGGGCUAAUACCCGAUAUUCACGUGUCUCUGCAUGGGGGUGUGUGGAAAGGCUCGGGGUCUUUAGGGGCUUUGUGGACUGGGAAGGGAUGGGCUUGCGGCCUAUCA
RNAcentral lists this ribosomal RNA (263 nucleotides) under Acidimicrobiales bacterium. RNAcentral describes it as "partial 16S ribosomal RNA". It matches the Rfam family "Bacterial small subunit ribosomal RNA", at positions 1 to 243 of the family's 1533-position model. Lineage: Bacteria; Bacillati; Actinomycetota; Acidimicrobiia; Acidimicrobiales. The record is from RNAcentral.